GAUGAAGAACGCAGCGAAAUGCGAUAAGUAAUGUGAAUUGCAGAAUUCAGUGAAUCAUCGAAUCUUUGAACGCACCUUGCACCCUUUGGCAUUCCGAAGGGUAUGCUCGUUUGAGUGUCAUUGUACUCUCACACUCUCCGAUCCUAUGGAUUCGGGGAGCGGUGGACUUGGGUGUUGCUGCCUUUCCUUGUGGCUCACCUCAAAUGUGUCAGUGCACCUCCUGGUUGGACAUAGUACGGCGUGAUAAGUGUCUUCGCCGGCACCUCGCAAGAGGGUGGCCGAUCGGGAGCUCUGUGCUUUCAAACCGUCUUCGGACAAUUUCUGACAACUUGACCUCAAAUCGAGUAGGACUACCCGCUGAACUUAAGCAUAUCAAUAAGCGGAGGA
RNAcentral lists this unclassified non-coding RNA (387 nucleotides) under soil metagenome. Its description in RNAcentral is "partial contains 5.8S ribosomal RNA, internal transcribed spacer 2, and large subunit ribosomal RNA". The stretch from base 1 to 120 matches the Rfam family "5.8S ribosomal RNA", at positions 35 to 154 of the family's 154-position model. The record is from RNAcentral.